AUUCAUGACUGGGGUGAAGUCGUAACAAGGUAACCGUAGGGGAACCUGCGGUUGGAUCACCUCCUUACCUGAAAGAAGC
RNAcentral lists this ribosomal RNA (79 nucleotides) under Salmonella sp. sc-h43. RNAcentral's name for it is "partial 16S ribosomal RNA". The stretch from base 1 to 67 matches the Rfam family "Bacterial small subunit ribosomal RNA", at positions 1467 to 1533 of the family's 1533-position model. Lineage: Bacteria; Pseudomonadati; Pseudomonadota; Gammaproteobacteria; Enterobacterales; Enterobacteriaceae. The record is from RNAcentral.